CCUACGGGAGACAGCAGUGGGGAAUAUUGCACAAUGGGGGAAACCCUGAUGCAGCGACGCCGCGUGAGUGAAGAAGUAUUUCGGUACGUAAAGCUCUAUCAGCAGGGAAGAAAAUGACGGUACCUGACUAAGAAGCCCCGGCUAACUACGUGCCAGCAGCCGCGGUAAUACGUAGGGGGCAAGCGUUAGCCGGAUUUACUGGGUGUAAAGGGAGCGUAGACGGCAGCGCAAGUCUGGAGUGAAAUCCCAUGGCUUAACCAUGGAACUGCUUUGGAAACUGUGCAGCUAGAGUGCAGGAGAGGUAAGCGGAAUUCCUAGUGUAGCGGUGAAAUGCGUAGAUAUUAGGAGGAACACCAGUGGCGAAGGCGGCUUACUGGACUGUAACUGACGUUGAGGCUCGAAAGCGUGGGGAGCAAACAGGAUUAGAUACCCCUGUAGUC
Molecule: ribosomal RNA, 440 nt
Filed under: uncultured bacterium
Lineage: Bacteria
Description: partial 16S ribosomal RNA
Rfam family: Bacterial small subunit ribosomal RNA
Source: RNAcentral